This 415-nucleotide long non-coding RNA is filed under the name Olea europaea (common olive). RNAcentral describes it as "long non-coding RNA (OEUR_LNC005193)". The record is from RNAcentral. Lineage: Eukaryota; Viridiplantae; Streptophyta; Magnoliopsida; Lamiales; Oleaceae.
UCUCCUUCUUCCCCAACUCCCUCGAACCAAAAUCAAAACAACCCCCUCCCAGUAGUCGGUCGCCACCUUCGGCGCCACUACCUCAACGUCGACUCCAACGCUGCCUGAAAACCAUGCACCACCACCACCACCACCACCACCACCUUAAAACCGGUGGCUCCCUCGUGCACAAAACCCCACUUUAGUCUUGGCCCCCAAAAUUUUUUGAUGUGUGUUUUGUGAAGAGUACUCAGUGGCUGCUUCAAUUCAAUGUGUCUCUUCACAAAGUCGUCCUUAGCAAUGCUUCUUCUUUCCAUUUUGUACAGUAGAUUCAAGUGAGAGGGAGUCGUGUUGCGGCUGUUUCUUCAGUUAUAAGAUUCCAUCCAGUUUAUAUUUGUGAAAUCUAAUUUGUAUAUGAUUUAUGAUUAUUUUUGUU